Molecule: ribosomal RNA, 504 nt
Filed under: Oulema melanopus
Lineage: Eukaryota; Metazoa; Arthropoda; Insecta; Coleoptera; Chrysomelidae
Description: partial 16S ribosomal RNA
Rfam family: Bacterial large subunit ribosomal RNA (bases 377-504)
Source: RNAcentral
UGAUAAUAAUUUUAGGUCUUACCUGCCCACUGAAUUUUUAAAUGGCCGCGGUAUUUUGACCGUGCAAAGGUAGCAUAAUCAUUAGUUUUUUAAUUGAAAGCUGGAAUGAAAGGUUUGAUGAAAAAAUGGCUGUCUUUAUUAAAAAAUUAAAAUUUUAUUUUUAAGUUAAAAAGCUUAAAUUUUUUUAAAAGACGAGAAGACCCUAUAGAGUUUAAUAAUUUAUUUUAAUAUUAUAAAAUUUUAGUUUAUUUUUUUUUAUUAAAAAAGUUAUUGUAUUGGGGUGAUAGAAUAAUUUAAUAAACUUAUUUUUAUUUAAUUCAUUUAUAUAUGUUUAAUUGAUCCAUAGAUUAUGAUUAUAAGAUAAAAUUACCUUAGGGAUAACAGCGUAAUUUUUUUUAAGAGUUCAAAUCGAAAAAAGAGAUUGCGACCUCGAUGUUGGAUUAAAAUUAAUUUUUGGUAGUAGAAGCUAGGAAUUUAGGUCUGUUCGACCUUUAAAAUUUUACA